Long non-coding RNA from Mauremys mutica (yellowpond turtle), 2274 nucleotides. RefSeq lists it as uncharacterized. Lineage: Eukaryota; Metazoa; Chordata; Testudines; Geoemydidae. The transcript is spliced from 4 exons. The record is from RefSeq and is a predicted model, not a curated record.
CAGGCUGUCUGUUGCUGCUUGCUACACGGUUCUUGGAUUGAAGCCCAGAGUACACGGCCUGCUUGCCUAUGUUCCCCUACUGGCUGCCAAAGAAGGUGGCAUAAAAGCCCCCUGAGAUAAGGGGUAUAAGAGUUACUGAGCCCCAACUUGGGUUGAAGAUCUGUCAUAAGGUCAUUGGCCUGUUGUUUUGUGUGACUCUUUGUAACCCUGGAAGGGGUGGGAGUGAAUGUGACCUGCUUGGGGGCUGAGGUACCAGGAGUAGACCACAGCAGGGCUGAAGUGGCUGUUGGCAGGGGAACCAAAGGAGAAGACUUUGUGAGCCACAUAGGGGCAUUUUGAUGGGUUAUAGAGUGAGUGUGACCUGGUGAAGGGCUGAGGCACAAGGAGCAGACCACAGCAGGGCUGGAGUGGCUAUUGGCAGGAGGAACCAGAGGAGAAGACUUUGCCAGCCAGGUGGGGGCAUUUUGAUGUUUUUCAGGUGAGAUGUACAGAAUCCGCUCCGGAGCUUCUCCAGGUCUGUGUCGAUACCAGUGUAUAACAGCACUCCCGAAGUUCUGAAUGCCAGAAGCCUCACAGACUAUACGUGCAGUUUUAUUUUCUGCUCUGGUAAUCGACAACUGAGCUUGUCUCAGAUGUAUUUGUGCACAUCCAUCUAGAAAGAGCAAGAAAAGAAAACAUGAAAUUAACAUGAAUCUGGAGCAUGGACACAGAUCGACUCGGAGAGCUGCUUCUCUACCUCAAACUUUCCCUUCUCAGAAUCCUGGUCAAAGAUGGGUUUUCCUGAUGAAAAAUAGAGAAUCCGUUCCAGAGCUGCAUCAGGUCUCUGUCGAUACCAGUGUAUAUAAGCACUACUAAGGGUUAUGCCAGAAACAUGACAGUCAAUUUGUGCAGUUUUAUUUUCUGCCCUGGUGAUGGAUAGUUGAGAUUGUACCAGUACUUGGGCCUCUCCAUCUGCAGAGAAAAGAGACAAAAACCAUUUAAUCCGAAAUUGAAUGAACAUGGAGGACCUCCAAUCAUUGCUCAAUAACAUGUCUGCAUGGAGAAGCCUAGAGUGUAAAAAGCAACUUACAAGACCAAACUACUGAAGCAACAAGAUAAACUUGCAAUAGUAACAUUCUCACUAGGCUAUGAUGAACCUGCUGCUGAGAAAGAAAGGAAAAUGAAUUCUGAUCUCAGAAAAAGGGUGGGGUCAUUUGAGUAGAGGAAGUGACUGAUGAGCGAUUUCAAGGCAAUACAGAUUUGCAUUUACCUUAGAUAAAAGUUCAUAAGGCUACACUUUGAGAUAUGAACAUCUACUAACCUUCCCUCAUGCUAUCCAGCAACUCUUCUGACUGCUGCCUUGUUUAGAACUUUUGAAAAAGAGUAUCAGAUGAUUAUUAUAACAAUGGUUGCAGCUAUUGAAGUUCUCUGCACUCCCUUUUAAAAAAAACACAAUCAUCAGCAGAUUUGAUCAAGGAAUAAUACUCUCAGCAUGAAAAAAGGCAACUAAUAGAACUUUUUCAAGCAGUGAUGAAAAUAGAUCACUAAGGGUCUGAUGCCUUAUUCAAUGGGAAGUUCUUCAAUUGAUUUCAAUGAGUUUUGGAAUAAGCUCCAAUUCCUGGGGAGAAUUUACUCCAGAAAUUUUUCAUUCUGUCUUAACUCAGAGUCCCCUCAAGUUUAUAGUUAUGAUAUAAUUACUGAUUAGUUUUCCUUGACAACAAUCUCUUAAAUAAACGCAUUGUCCUUGCACUUAAUUUGACUCUUGCGUCAUGCAGACUCAGAGGUGCCUCAGGGAUUGUCUUUGUUUUCACCUAAAUCAAUAGAGUCCCAUUGUUUCAUAAGGGGUUUCGUAUGCUGUUUGUGAAUUCUGUUGCUAUCUCCACCCUGUCUGUGAGUUUCCCUUUGAGUAUCUGUUGGUGUCUAUUCCUCCCACUCCACAAGAGCAUGUAACUUUUAUUGGGUGACCUUCAUCUCUGUGCAGAGCCAGAACAAGGUCCUUACACUGUUUUAACCCCACGUAAGCCCUAUUUUGAGGGUUUAAGUGGGAAGUAAGUGCUGUAUAAACCUUGUCCUGGCCCCUCUACAGAGGGCUGAAUUUAACCCAUUAAACUUUACAAUAAACUAUUCUGAGAACUCCUUAAAAUCUGUAACAUUUGGAAUAUACUUUGCACGCUAUCCAAAGAAACAUAGCAACAAAUAUACCAUAUUUCAAAAGCAUAGUGAUUAGAUAUAUAGAUGGAGUGCUACCUGCACUAUCCCUGUUUGUGUGUGUGUGUGUGUGGGGGGGGAAUAUAC